GAUGAACGCUAGCUACAGGCUUAACACAUGCAAGUCGAGGGGCAGCAUGAAAGUUUGCUUGCAAACUUUUGAUGGCGACCGGCGCACGGGUGAGUAACACGUAUCCAACCUGCCUCAUACUCGGGGAUAGCCUUUCGAAAGAAAGAUUAAUACCCGAUGUCAUAGUCCUACCGCAUGAUGGGAUUAUUAAAGAAUUUCGGUAUGGGAUGGGGAUGCGUUCCAUUAGUUAGUUGGCGGGGUAACGGCCCACCAAGACAACGAUGGAUAGGGGUUCUGAGAGGAAGGUCCCCCACACUGGAACUGAGACACGGUCCAG
RNAcentral lists this ribosomal RNA (316 nucleotides) under uncultured bacterium. RNAcentral's name for it is "bacterial SSU rRNA". It matches the Rfam family "Bacterial small subunit ribosomal RNA", at positions 28 to 334 of the family's 1533-position model. The record is from RNAcentral.